AUUUGUAAAAAAAUAAGAGGUCGCAUAGCAACCUUUCACGUCUCCAGGGAGACCAUCCGUAGUAGUGAUUGGUUGAUAUCAGCCAAUCACACUACAGUAACAGGACAGGUACAUUUGAGAAACAUGCAGCAGUGUCGUUUUGCACUUGGUAUAGCAGUGAAGAAACCUUCUUAACUGGCAAAAAAAGUGCACAAAGUAUGUAAUAAUACUCCGCCAUCCAAGGGUUGUUUUAAAUAAACCAAAGAAGGAAUAAGCUGAUAAAUCAACAAAGAAGAGGACAAGGAUUCAUCACACCCAGCCAUCUUCAAUUCUGUGAAGAUGUAUAGUAGCCUUGACUGCUCUCAUUUUGAUCAAGUAUCCAAAAGUCCUCUUGGGAAGACAUGAAGCUUGCUGCUGGCUGCCGGACUCCUGCUGCUCCUCCGCUGUAUUCUUUUUCUGGCUUUCACUGCGGCGAGGGAAAAACACAACACGAGUAAAUGGCAGGUGGUAGUUGCAGGGCACGUCAUUCCACUGGCCCUUCUCAUGCCAGAUCAUCACCACACAGUCUUCUCCAGAGUUGAAGUAAUUAUCUGGCUGGUUCGGCCUCCAGUUCUCGUAUUGCUGAAGAAGAGGAGGAAGGAGAAACAUACUUUACUACAAGCAGAGAACAGAACGGACUUUCUUCUCGCUGAGCAGAGCUUGAAAACACAGCUGAUAAAAGACGAAGUCCACCGGCAACCAGACCACUGCCAGCCUGCGUUUACUCGACACCCGGAGUCAUUAACCGCUGCGUUACUCGCAUGACUGCACGGGUGUUCACGCGCCUUCAGCCUCUGAAAGAUGUCUUGUACAUGUUUUAUAUGGCUUUCUGACACCAUACACAUUGUGCCGGAUCAAACAGGACAUGUUCACAUGUAGUGUUAAAAUAACGUCAAGCCACUGUAGCUCCUUGAUAAAUGGAGUUUCUUGAGUAACUGUUAUAAUUUACACCCUCUCUGGGCAGUUUUGUUUGUAGAGGCAAAGAUUAAACUGAAAGAAAUACUUUAUUAGCUGGUUGUAGAAAUAAAUACUUGUAAUACAGAGAAAGCAGAAAUGCAGCAUUAAUGAUGUGAAAUU
Molecule: long non-coding RNA, 1095 nt
Organism: Siniperca chuatsi (mandarin fish)
Lineage: Eukaryota; Metazoa; Chordata; Actinopteri; Centrarchiformes; Sinipercidae
Exons: 6
Source: RefSeq, a predicted model, not a curated record